RNAcentral lists this ribosomal RNA (301 nucleotides) under uncultured bacterium. RNAcentral describes it as "partial 16S ribosomal RNA". It matches the Rfam family "Bacterial small subunit ribosomal RNA", at positions 509 to 807 of the family's 1533-position model. The record is from RNAcentral.
CAGUCGCCACGGGAACACGAAGGGGGCUAGCGUUGUUCGGAAUUACUGGGCGUAAAGCGCACGUAGGCGGACAUUUAAGUCAGGGGUGAAAUCCCGGGGCUCAACCCCGGAACUGCCUUUGAUACUGGGUGUCUAGAGUAUGGAAGAGGUGAGUGGAAUUCCGAGUGUAGAGGUGAAAUUCGUAGAUAUUCGGAGGAACACCAGUGGCGAAGGCGGCUCACUGGUCCAUUACUGACGCUGAGGUGCGAAAGCGUGGGGAGCAAACAGGAUUAGAUACCCGCGUAGUCCCUGUCUCUUAUAC